CUUCAAGAGAAAAAUGAUUAAAUCCAAAUACUGAAAAUCCUUCAUCUUGUCUCUAUUUUAUCUUCUUCUAUUUCAAUCAGAUCAUCAGUGGUUUAAAUCCUAAAACUAUCUGUGUUGAUGUUGUGUCUCUGCUUGUCUUCAGUGUGCUGAGAGCAGAGAAAUCAUUUCCAUAGAGACGAGGCUUUGCAUGGUCAGCUGAUCCUCCAGGGAACUGAGAAGGUUUAUAGUCCUGUGAGUUCAACACUGCAGGACUCAGAUCUGUCAGUCAACCCAGCAGAACCAACAAGCACCAUGACUCUCAUCACCAUCCUGAUCUGGACGCUGCUGACCUGCUGCUGUUUUACAGGAUGCAGCGCUCAGGUGACUGUGACUCAGCUUCCACUGAUGACAUUUACACCAGGAUCCACUGUCAACAUCAAGUGUACAACAAGUCCUGCUGUUGGAACAUGUUCUGGCAGUCCUUGUAUGUCCUGGUAUCAGCAGAAACCAGGACAGCCUCCAAAGCUCUUGAUUAAAUAUGUGAAAAAACUUCAGUCAGGAACACCAGAUCGGUUUAGUGGCAGUGGAAGCAGCUCUGUCUUCACUUUGACCAUCACUGGAGUUCAGGCUGAAGAUGCAGCAGUUUAUUACUGUCAGAGUUUCCACAGUGGCCCAGUGUUCACACAGUGAUUUGUAGCUGUACAAAAACCUCCUUCAGUCAGACUGCAAACACACUGAGCUGUUAGAGCAGAAACUGCAGCUGCUGAGGAGGAAGAGACUCUGAAACAGAUCAAUGAACCUCAGACUUUAAGAGCUUUGUUCAGUCCGUAAAUAUAUCAAACAUCAUUUAGGAUAAAACAUCAACAACUUCAACAGUUUUAGGCUUCCUUGAAGGGAACAUCUCAGACUCCAUCUUUUAAUUACAACACUGUAAUUUUGUAGCUCAGUGAACAGAUAUUUCACCAGACUGUGGAGCUGAUUAGAUAAUUUCCUGGAAAUUAUAACAAUUCAGACACACAAAAUAAUAGAUUUCUUCACAUAUGAAGGUAUUUCCAUAAACAUUAUUUUAUUAUUUCCUUAAUCAUAUUUCUUUAAAUAUUAUUUUAAUAAAUAAAGGCAGCUAAUUAAACACCGUUGAAAAUUGGUCAUCCAGAAGAUUGGUUUUAUUCA
Non-coding RNA from Girardinichthys multiradiatus, 1149 nucleotides. The record is from the annotation of a RefSeq genome assembly. Lineage: Eukaryota; Metazoa; Chordata; Actinopteri; Cyprinodontiformes; Goodeidae.